GAAAAGAAGAACAAAACCCAAUUUCACACCAGAAUUCAGGCUUGAAUGUGCUCAAUUAGUCGUUGAUAAAGGCUACCCAGUAGUCGAAGCCGCUCAGGCUAUGAAUGUAGGU
RNAcentral lists this small RNA (112 nucleotides) under uncultured Colwellia sp. Its description in RNAcentral is "isrC Hfq binding RNA". The record is from RNAcentral. Lineage: Bacteria; Pseudomonadati; Pseudomonadota; Gammaproteobacteria; Alteromonadales; Colwelliaceae.